Oncorhynchus keta (chum salmon) is the source of this 2505-nucleotide long non-coding RNA. RefSeq lists it as uncharacterized. The record is from RefSeq and is a predicted model, not a curated record. The transcript has 5 exons. NCBI's taxonomy places the organism in Eukaryota, Metazoa, Chordata, Actinopteri, Salmoniformes, Salmonidae.
UACUGAAAUCAUAUGAGAAUACACACAGGUAAGACACACUCACUACUAAAAUCAUAUGAGAGUACACACAGUUAAGACACACACACUACUGAAAUCAUAUGAGAAUACACACAGGUAAGACACACUCACUACUAAAAUCAUAUGAGUACACACAGGUAAGACACACACACUACUAAAAUCAUAUGAGAAUACACACAGGUAAGACACACACACUACUUAAAUCAUGAGAGUACACACAAGUAAGACACACACACUACUUAAAUCAUAUGAGAAUACACAAAGGUAAGACACACACACUACUAUAAUCAUAUGAGAAUACACACAGGUAAGAAACACACACACACUACUGAAAUCAUGAGUACACACUAGUAAGACACACACACACAACUAAAAUCAUGAGAAUACCCACAGGUAAGACACACACACUACUUAAAUCAUAUGAGAAUACACACAGGUAAGACACACACACUACUUAAAUCAUAUGAGUACACACAGGUAAGACACACUCACUACUAAAAUCAUAUGAGAGUACACACAGGUAAGAAACACACACACACACACACUACUGAAAUCAUAUGAGAAUACACACAGGUAAGAAACACACACACACUACUGAAAUCAUAUGAGCACACACUAGUAAGACACACACACUACUAAAAUCAUAUGAGAAUACACACAGGCAAGACACACACACUACUAAAAUCAUAUGAGAGUACACACAGGUAAUAAACACACACACACACACACUACUGAAAUCAUAUGAGAAUACACACAGGUAAGAAACACACACACACUACUGAAAUCAUAUGAGCACACACUAGUAAGACACACACACUACUGAAAUCAUAUGAGAAUACACACAGGCAAGACACACACACUACUAAAAUCAUAUGAGAGUACACACAGGUAAUAAACACACACACACACACUACUAAAAUCAUAUGAGAAUAUACACAGGUAAGACACACACAUUACUAAAAUCAUAUGAGAAUACACACAGGUAAGACACACACACUACUAAAAUCAUAUGAGAAUACACACUAGUAAGACACACACUACUAAAGUCAUAUGAGAAUACACACUAGUAAGACACACACUACUAAAAUCAUAUGAGAAUACACACUAGUAAGACACACACACUGCUUAAAUCAUGAGAGUACACACAGGUAAGACACACACAUUACUAAAAUCAUAUGAGAAUACACACUAGUAAGACACACACACUACUAAAAUCAUAUGAGAAUACACACAGGUAAGACACACACUGCUUAAAUCAUGAGAAUACACACAGGUAAGACACACACUACUUAAAUCAUAUGAGAAUACACACAGGUAAGACACACACUACUUAAAUCAUAUGAGAAUACACACAGGUAAGACACACACACACUACUAAUAUCAUAUGAGAAUACACACAGGUAAGACACACACUACUAAAAUCAUAUGAGAAUACACACAGGUAAGACACACACUACUUAAAUCAUAUGAGAAUGCACACAGGUAAGACACACACAAACUACUUAAAUCAUAUGAGAAUACACACAGGUAAGACACACACACUACUUAAAUCAUAUGAGAAUACACACAGGUAAGACACACACACUACUUAAAUCAUAUGAGAAUACACACAGGUAAGACACACACACUACUUAAAUCAUAUGAGAAUACACACAGGUAAGACACACACACUACUUAAAUCAUAUGAGAAUACACACAGGUAAGACACACACACUACUUAAAUCAUAUGAGAAUACACACAGGUAAGACACACACACUACUUAAAUCAUAUGAGAAUACACACAGGUAAGACACACACACUACUUAAAUCAUAUGAGAAUACACACAGGUAAGACACACACACUACUUAAAUCAUAUGAGAAUACACACAGGUAAGACACACACACUACUUAAAUCAUAUGAGAAUACACACAGGUAAGACACACACACUACUUAAAUCAUAUGAGAAUACACACAGGUAAGACACACACACUACUUAAAUCAUAUGAGAAUACACACAGGUAAGACACACACACUACUUAAAUCAUAUGAGAAUACACACAGGUAAGACACACACACUACUUAAAUCAUAUGAGAAUACACACAGGUAAGACACACACACUACUUAAAUCAUAUGAGAAUACACACAGGUAAGACACACACACUACUUAAAUCAUAUGAGAGUACACACAGGUGAGAGGUUACAUUACUGCUUUGUUAGAUACUUAAGCAAUAAGGCUCGAGGAGGUGUGGUAUAUGGCCAAUAUACCACGGCUAAGGGCUGUUCUUAUGUACCACGCAACGCAGAGUGCCUGGAUACAACAUAUACCACAUACCCCCAGGUGCCUUACUGCUAUUAUAAACUGGUUACCAACGUAAUUAGAGCAGUAGAAAUACAUGUUUUGUCAUUCCCGUGGUGUAUGGUCUGAUAUACCACAGCUGUCAGCCAAUCAGCAUUCAGGGCUCGAACCACCCGGUUAAAAUUGACAUUAACUAAGUGCUCCACUC